RNAcentral lists this ribosomal RNA (1062 nucleotides) under Triticum aestivum (bread wheat). RNAcentral describes it as "partial small subunit ribosomal RNA". The record is from RNAcentral. Lineage: Eukaryota; Viridiplantae; Streptophyta; Magnoliopsida; Poales; Poaceae.
AUGAAACUGUAUAAUUUGAAAAAAACUUUCUCGGGAGAAAUUGCAACAACACUAGUUUAUCACAUACUACAAGAUCAUACAUACUACGUUCUUCUACUACUACUAGAGGGGGGUGGGGGAUCUCGCGGCGGCGAGGCCGAGGUCGACGUACCAAAAUGGAGGAGCUCGCGACCGAGGAUGACGCCAUGGAGGAGCUCAGUCCUCCUUGUUGGAGCUGACGAGAUCGAUGAACUUCUGCCUCUGCUCCUCGCGGAUGCGCCGCCACUGUCGUCCUUGUCCUUCGCGGCAAGGUUCGCCACGACCGCCUACUUGAGCAAGAGGUCUUCGAUCUCCUCGUCGUGGCGCCGGCGCUCCGCCUCAUCGCACAAGUUCCGUUCGGCAAUGACGGCUGCGACCGCGUCGACACCGGCCAUGAAAUCUUCAGGCCUGACGACCCCUCGGCGCUCGAUCUCAUCCGGCUCCUGCUUUACGGCGACAAGCUCGCGGUCCUCCGGCUCCUCAGAUCACUCCCUCUUUACGGGGAGAAGCGCCUCCUCAGAACAGGAAGAGCUCACGACGUGGGAAGAGCCCGCGGCCGAGGAGGGCGUAUGCCCGUGCCGACGGUCCUCCUCUUCUGUCUCGCGACGGAGGAGCCUCGACGUCGACUCAAGGCCCUUAUUCGUCCACUUCCUCGCCGCGCGCUUCCUCGUGCCGUCAGAGCGGACACGCCGCUCGCGCUCGGGGUCGCCACCACCGCCAGAGCUGCCACCGCAGCUGCGGCUGGAGUUUCACAUGCGGCCCCACAUGGCGGCUGGAGGCGGAAGGGGGCUCACCUGCAGCGAGAAAUGUGAGGGGGGGGGAGGGGGGAUUGCGGCGAAACGUGGCGACAUGGGAAUAGGGUUUCGACCCGUACCGCAAACUCGUAGAUAUACUGCUUCGGGGGGAGGGAGCGGUUUGCUGGCCGCGGUAAAAAAAAUUUACAGGCCGGGCCAGUAUACGGGCUCUGUUCUGGUCAGAAAAUUGGGCCGAGCCCGUAUACUCGCCGGAAUUAUGCGGGUUCGCGAGAUAUACGGGGUCUGCUAG